UUCGUGUUCCACAUUGAACGCCAGCGUUAAAGAAUAUAACACAUUGUGUUCAGUCUUUGAACGCACAUGUUCAAGACAAGUGUUCUAAAUUGAACACUAGAAAUGUUCUAAUAUUGUAAUGGGGAGUGAACAAAUAUUUCAUCGCUUCAGAGUCAAACAGACGAUCAAUAAGGGUGAUUCGCACUAUAAUUUGACGAUAAAUGUAUUUUAGCUGUAUCAACAUAAGCAAAUUAUAGUUUGGUAAAAAAAAAAUGAAAGAGCGUAUUUAUAUAAGCGUGCAAAUGAUUGAUUUUUAGUAUAAAUCUUCUUUCUAAAGGACUUGAGUUCUUUGGGGAUAUUUUUUUACAAUGUAAAUGUGUAAAUGCUCAUGAAAACGUUGCUAUUGUAAAAGCGUUCUGGCGUCGAACAUGAUGCGUUCAAAUUUACCAUUUCCCCCCGAACGCCAUGUGUUCCAAACAUGCCAGCGUACAUAACAGCGCGUGACGUAUUUAAUGUACCGGAAGUUUGGUUUUUGAUCGUGAUUGAAGAAGCUUCACUGAAGAAAAUUACAGCAAAACUUGAUUUAAUAUGGUACAAACACAACUAUAGUACUGAGGGGUAAUUGUUCGUGCAUACCUCGCCGAGAAUGAAGAGAAAAUUUCGCAGUUCAAGAGAUGACUACUUAUCCUGCACAAUAAAAGUACUUUAUAACUCACAGUUGAUGGAUAACAAGGUUAAAGAGUAGUUAUAACCCAAGGAGACGAAUGUUCUAAAAAAUGGAAGUUCAAAAGACGAAUGUUCUAAAAAAUGGCAGCUCAAAAUCAGUUGUAGACGACUAAAAUCAUGUUAAAAAGUACCUAAGGUAACAGUGUUACAUGAACACCGACUCGACUAGUAGCAGCAUAUACACAGGGUAUUUUAUGUUUGAUAUUGACUAUCUGAGUGCUACGAAAGCUGUGGAUCAUCGAAAAUAUUGGUGAUAAACGAGUCAUUGACAUAAGUAUUUUGUAAUUCAGGACAGUGCUUGACUUGAGAAGUUGCAAACGAUGAGUUAAACUGUGUUCAUAAGUCACUAAACUUUG
Molecule: long non-coding RNA, 1061 nt
Organism: Mytilus trossulus (common blue mussel)
Lineage: Eukaryota; Metazoa; Mollusca; Bivalvia; Mytilida; Mytilidae
Exons: 3
Source: RefSeq, a predicted model, not a curated record